RNAcentral lists this long non-coding RNA (207 nucleotides) under Musa acuminata (dwarf banana). Its description in RNAcentral is "long non-coding RNA (MACU_LNC002681)". The record is from RNAcentral. Lineage: Eukaryota; Viridiplantae; Streptophyta; Magnoliopsida; Zingiberales; Musaceae.
UGGAAUAUUAAAUCAAACGUUAUGAUUAGAUAGGAUUUUAGUUUAGAAAGUCAAGUCAAGAUAGGAGUUCGUAUCAUCAUUGUAGUCAAAGUCUUAAGUUUACCUCUCUAUAAAUAUGGAUGCAUGUAAUGCUUUAGGAAUACAACAAAGAGAAAAGAUAAAUUAAAGCAAAGGCUUACAGAUUAUGAGAUAUUAUAAAGUUUUAAU